Molecule: ribosomal RNA, 245 nt
Filed under: uncultured bacterium
Lineage: Bacteria
Description: partial 16S ribosomal RNA
Rfam family: Bacterial small subunit ribosomal RNA
Source: RNAcentral
GACGGAGGGGGCAAGCGUUGUCCGGAAUUACUGGGCGUAAAGCGCGCGUAGGCGGUGGCGUACGGCGGUGGUGAAAGCUCCCGGCUCAACUGGGAGAGGCCCGCCGCAACGGCGUGACUGGAGGCAGGUAGAGGCAGAUGGAAUUCCUGGUGUAGCGGUGAAAUGCGUAGAGAUCAGGAGGAACCCCCGUGGCGAAGGCGGUCUGCUGGGCCUGUCCUGACGCUGAGGCGCGAAAGCCAGGGGAG